Molecule: ribosomal RNA, 364 nt
Filed under: uncultured bacterium
Lineage: Bacteria
Description: partial 16S ribosomal RNA
Rfam family: Bacterial small subunit ribosomal RNA
Source: RNAcentral
CCUACGGGAGGCAGCAGUGAGGAAUAUUGGACAAUGGACGCAAGUCUGAACCAGCCAUGCCGCGUGCAGGAAGACGGCUCUAUGAGUUGUAAACUGCUUCUGUACGAGGGUAAACGCAGAUAAGCGUAUCUGUAUGAAAGUAUCGUACGAAUAAGGAACGGCUAACUCCGUGCCAGCAGCCGCGGUAAUACGGAGGAUUCAAGCGUUAUCCGGAUUUAUUGGGUUUAAAGGGUGCGUAGGCGGUCGGAUAAGUUAGAGGUGAAAGCCCGGGGCUCAACUCCGGAAUUGCCUCUGAUACUGUUCGGCUAGAGUGUAGGAGCGGUAGGCGGAAUGUAUGGUGUAGCGGUGAAAUGCUUAGAUAUCA